Molecule: long non-coding RNA, 1293 nt
Filed under: Oryza sativa aus subgroup
Lineage: Eukaryota; Viridiplantae; Streptophyta; Magnoliopsida; Poales; Poaceae
Description: lncRNA OsN22_08G013780
Source: RNAcentral
GCUUAAACCAAAUCCUUGUUGGCAUUGAUACUUUAGACAAACUGGUAGUAGUACAUUAUCCCAUGAAAAUACUAGAAUGAGCUAUACAUAGAGGACCUUUACUUAAGUAGUUCUAGCUUACAUUGCAUGCUUGAGGCUUCAACCUUAAUGCUGGGUACUUGAGUACAUUAAUUACUACUGAUUGUUAAUGUGAUUAUGCUAACUGAUUUUUGAAGCGAGUGAUUAUGCUAAUUGCUAAUUAAAGUGAGGUACUACUGUUCAGUGUGUUCAUCAGUGCUGGCUUUGUGUGAUCAAACGAGGAGAGGCUUCUCCUCCGCCAUGGCCUUCUCCUUGCUCUCCGGCCGGAGCUCCAGCAGCAGCUUCACGACGGACCUCAUCGACGGGCGGUUGAUCGGGAGGCUGGACGCGCAGAGCAGCGCGACGUUGAGCGCCCUCCGCGUCUCGUCGCGCGGCGCGCCGGCGAGCCUCCCGUCGAGCACGCGGUCGACGCCGUCGCGCUCGACGCCGCCGCACACCCACCUGACGAGGUCCUUCUCCCCGAGCUCCGGCCCCGCCGGCGCCUUGCCGGUGAGGAGCUCCAGCAUCACCACGCCGAAGCUGUACACGUCGCUCUUCUCCGUGAUACGCAGCGUGUACGAGUACUCUGGGAAAUCAAGAAUCGUUAGCGGGCGCCAUGGCGAUGGCGAUCGAGGAGCCGGCGAUGGCGGACACGGCGGUGGGCGGCGCGGCGGAGACGGCCCUGGCGACGCCGAAGUCGGCGACCUUGGCGCGGAGGUCGGCGUCGAGGAGGAUGUUGUUGGACUUGACGUCGCGGUGCACGAUCGGCGGCGCGCAGUCGUGGUGGAGGUAGGAGAGACCCUCGGCGGCGUCGACCAUGAUGCGGUGCCGCGCCGGCCAGUCGAGGAGGCCGCCCUUGCCGCCGUGGAGGAGGUCGCCGACGCUGCCGUUGGGCAUGUACUCGUAGACGAGCAGCCGCCGGUCGCCGCUGCUGAGGCUGCACCACAGCUUCACGAUGUUCUUGUGCCGUAUCCUCCCCAGCGUCGCCACCUCCGCCUCGAACGUGUCCUUGCCGCCGCCGCCGCCGCCGCCGCCGGCGGCUUCCAUGGCCGCCGCCUUCUUCGCCGCGCCGCCGUUAGCCCAGAGCUUCUUGACGGCGACGACGGCGCCGUCGUCGCCGCCGCGGGCGCCGUUCCCGAGGACGGCCUUGUACACCUUGCCCGCUGCGCCCGUGCCGACCACGUUGUCCUCGUCGUCGAGGCAGCUCAGGAUGUCCUCCUCGUCGAACUCCGCCUU